This is a non-coding RNA of Hirsutella rhossiliensis, 108 nucleotides long. NCBI's taxonomy places the organism in Eukaryota, Fungi, Ascomycota, Sordariomycetes, Hypocreales, Ophiocordycipitaceae. The record is from the annotation of a RefSeq genome assembly.
GGUGAGAUGGCCGAGUUGGUUAUGGCGCCAGGUUAAGGAAAGGUGUAUAUCCUUAGCAUCAGUUUCCUGGUGGAGCAAUCCUCCUGGGUUCGAGUCCCAGUCUCAUCA